AAUACAUGCAAGUCGAACGCACUAGCAAUAGUGAGUGGCGAACGGGUGAGUAACACGUAGGUAACUUACCUCUAAGACGAGGAUAACGACUGGAAACGGUCGCUAAAACUGGAUAGGAUCUUUGGAGGCAUCUCUGGAGAUUUAAAGGGGCUGAAAGGCCACACUUAGAGAAAGGCCUGCGGCGCAUUAGCUAGUUGGUGGUGUAGAGGACUACCAAGGCGAUGAUGCGUAGCCGGACUGAGAGGUCGAACGGCCACAUUGGGACUGAGCCAGGAUCAAACUCU
RNAcentral lists this ribosomal RNA (284 nucleotides) under uncultured bacterium. RNAcentral's name for it is "partial 16S ribosomal RNA". It matches the Rfam family "Bacterial small subunit ribosomal RNA", at positions 50 to 339 of the family's 1533-position model. The record is from RNAcentral.